This 1455-nucleotide ribosomal RNA is filed under the name Limosilactobacillus fermentum. RNAcentral's name for it is "bacterial SSU rRNA". It matches the Rfam family "Bacterial small subunit ribosomal RNA". The record is from RNAcentral. Lineage: Bacteria; Bacillati; Bacillota; Bacilli; Lactobacillales; Lactobacillaceae.
CUAAUACAUGCAAGUCGAACGCGUUGGCCCAAUUGAUUGAUGGUGCUUGCACCUGAUUGAUUUUGGUCGCCAACGAGUGGCGGACGGGUGAGUAACACGUAGGUAACCUGCCCAGAAGCGGGGGACAACAUUUGGAAACAGAUGCUAAUACCGCAUAACAGCGUUGUUCGCAUGAACAACGCUUAAAAGAUGGCUUCUCGCUAUCACUUCUGGAUGGACCUGCGGUGCAUUAGCUUGUUGGUGGGGUAACGGCCUACCAAGGCGAUGAUGCAUAGCCGAGUUGAGAGACUGAUCGGCCACAAUGGGACUGAGACACGGCCCAUACUCCUACGGGAGGCAGCAGUAGGGAAUCUUCCACAAUGGGCGCAAGCCUGAUGGAGCAACACCGCGUGAGUGAAGAAGGGUUUCGGCUCGUAAAGCUCUGUUGUUAAAGAAGAACACGUAUGAGAGUAACUGUUCAUACGUUGACGGUAUUUAACCAGAAAGUCACGGCUAACUACGUGCCAGCAGCCGCGGUAAUACGUAGGUGGCAAGCGUUAUCCGGAUUUAUUGGGCGUAAAGAGAGUGCAGGCGGUUUUCUAAGUCUGAUGUGAAAGCCUUCGGCUUAACCGGAGAAGUGCAUCGGAAACUGGAUAACUUGAGUGCAGAAGAGGGUAGUGGAACUCCAUGUGUAGCGGUGGAAUGCGUAGAUAUAUGGAAGAACACCAGUGGCGAAGGCGGCUACCUGGUCUGCAACUGACGCUGAGACUCGAAAGCAUGGGUAGCGAACAGGAUUAGAUACCCUGGUAGUCCAUGCCGUAAACGAUGAGUGCUAGGUGUUGGAGGGUUUCCGCCCUUCAGUGCCGGAGCUAACGCAUUAAGCACUCCGCCUGGGGAGUACGACCGCAAGGUUGAAACUCAAAGGAAUUGACGGGGGCCCGCACAAGCGGUGGAGCAUGUGGUUUAAUUCGAAGCUACGCGAAGAACCUUACCAGGUCUUGACAUCUUGCGCCAACCCUAGAGAUAGGGCGUUUCCUUCGGGAACGCAAUGACAGGUGGUGCAUGGUCGUCGUCAGCUCGUGUCGUGAGAUGUUGGGUUAAGUCCCGCAACGAGCGCAACCCUUGUUACUAGUUGCCAGCAUUAAGUUGGGCACUCUAGUGAGACUGCCGGUGACAAACCGGAGGAAGGUGGGGACGACGUCAGAUCAUCAUGCCCCUUAUGACCUGGGCUACACACGUGCUACAAUGGACGGUACAACGAGUCGCGAACUCGCGAGGGCAAGCAAAUCUCUUAAAACCGUUCUCAGUUCGGACUGCAGGCUGCAACUCGCCUGCACGAAGUUGGAAUCGCUAGUAAUCGCGGAUCAGCAUGCCGCGGUGAAUACGUUCCCGGGCCUUGUACACACCGCCCGUCACACCAUGAGAGUUUGUAACACCCAAAGUCGGUGGGGUAACCUUUUAGGAACCAGCUUGCCU